RNAcentral lists this transfer RNA (76 nucleotides) under Candidatus Pelethomonas intestinigallinarum. RNAcentral's name for it is "tRNA-Thr". It matches the Rfam family "tRNA". Rfam says of the family: Transfer RNA (tRNA) molecules are approximately 80 nucleotides in length. Their secondary structure includes four short double-helical elements and three loops (D, anti-codon, and T loops). Lineage: Bacteria; Bacillati; Bacillota; Clostridia; Eubacteriales; Oscillospiraceae. The record is from RNAcentral.
GCUGCUGUAGCUCAGUAGGUAGAGCGCAUCCUUAGUAAGGAUGAGGUCGGCGGUUCGAAUCCGCCCAGCAGCUCCA